GGGAUAAAUCAACUGUCAAGUG
Molecule: microRNA, 22 nt
Filed under: Nematostella vectensis (starlet sea anemone)
Lineage: Eukaryota; Metazoa; Cnidaria; Anthozoa; Actiniaria; Edwardsiidae
Description: nve-miR-2022-5p
Source: miRBase by way of RNAcentral